GACGAACGCUGGCGGCGUGCUUAACACAUGCAAGUCGAACGGAAAGGCCCUGCUUUUGUGGGGUGCUCGAGUGGCGACCGGGUGAGUAACCCGUGAGUAACCUGCCCUUGACUUUGGGAUAACCUCAGGAAACUGGGGCUAAUCCCGGCUAGGAGUUCCCGCUGUUUGGUGGGGGUUGGAUAGUUUAGGCGGUUGGGGAUGGACUCGCGGCUUAUCAGCUUGUUGGUUGGGUAGUGGCUUACCAAGGCUUUGACGGGUAGCCGGCCUGAGAGGGUGACCGGCCACACUAGACUGGGAAUGCGGCCCAGACUCGUACGGGAGGCAGCGGAGGGGAAGAGUGCACAAGGGACGGAAGCCUGAUGCAGCAACGCCGCGUGGGGGAUGACGGCCUGCGGGUUGUAAACCGCUUUCGCCUGUGACGAAGCGUGAGUGACGGUAAUGGGUAAAGAAGCACCGGCUAACUACGUG
This 468-nucleotide ribosomal RNA is filed under the name uncultured bacterium. RNAcentral describes it as "partial 16S ribosomal RNA". It matches the Rfam family "Bacterial small subunit ribosomal RNA", at positions 28 to 507 of the family's 1533-position model. The record is from RNAcentral.